Gymnogyps californianus (California condor) is the source of this 787-nucleotide long non-coding RNA. RefSeq lists it as uncharacterized. Lineage: Eukaryota; Metazoa; Chordata; Aves; Accipitriformes; Cathartidae. The record is from RefSeq and is a predicted model, not a curated record. The transcript has 3 exons.
GUUUUGUCUCCAAGCUGAGUUACAAGCCUCAGGAACUGAAGUGAGGGGACUGCUCAUGCUACCUCCUCUCAGCAGUGUGUCUGUGGGGUGAUGGCCCACUGCGCUUGGGGAACAGUAGCAUGGCUGCAUUGGAGGAAAGCUCUGCCUCUGUUGGUGUGCGAUAGCAAAGUGUUGCUUUCCUGGUAGCUACACCUCCAAUAGCAUCAUUUGGGUGUGCAGCUGAUAUGGAGAAUAUGACAAUUCAACUGGAUGAGUCAGCACAGGCAACACAAAGGACUGCAGUUAAAAGCUAGGGCUAGGACUUGGAGGAUGUGUAGGCAAACGGAAGGAGAGCCGGGGGAAGAAAAACCGAAAUGGAUUCAUUCUCUGUCCUGGAUGGAGGAGGAGAGGAGAAGAGAAGGGGACGUGCGAGCUUCCUUCAACUGCCUCUGUCCGGUGAAAAGUGCUCAGACCCCCGGGGCUGAGCCGAGCUCAGGAGUCCGCGCGGACUUUCGCUUUAAGCUGCCAAUCAAACCGCUAACUAGCCACCACCCUGCUCUGGCACCGACAUGUAAGUAGCUGCAGCACAACUUUGACAUUCACAGUUUUUCCCCCCUCCUCCCCCGUGACCUUUAAAAUGAUCUGGAAAUGUAGCUCCCACCUACGACCCGCCGCUCUGAGCUCCACAGCGUUAACCUCGGGGACUCGUGUGCGGGUUUGGGCUCGGCUGAAAUUGCGCGGUAGCUGAUCGCGACCGUACCGCUGGGCAGAAGCGCUCCCCGUCCACAGGCUGCCUCUGCCCUGCCUG